Solanum pennellii is the source of this 491-nucleotide long non-coding RNA. RefSeq lists it as uncharacterized. The transcript is spliced from 2 exons. The record is from RefSeq and is a predicted model, not a curated record. Lineage: Eukaryota; Viridiplantae; Streptophyta; Magnoliopsida; Solanales; Solanaceae.
AUCUCACCAUUGUUGCUGCUGGAGAUCAACAAAAAUUUUCUUCAUUCAUCUUCUUUACAGCGAAUGAAAUGUCCAAUUUGUCGAUUUCAACUUCUUCUGUUGCAAAUGUAUUUUGUCGAUGUGGGGUUAAUGCUGAAGUGAAAACCUCAUGGACACAACUUAAUACAGGACAUCGAUUUUUUUGUUGCAAAAACACAAAGAGAAGAGGUGGAUGCGAUUUUUUUCGAUCGUACGAUGAUGAUCUACCGCCUCAAGCAAAAAAGAUCAUAUGGGGCCUAUUGAAAAGAAUCAAAUCAUACGAACAAGAGAGGGAAGCGGGCAACAAAAAUCAGGAUCAUAUGUGUUAUUGCACUCGUGAUUUUUGCUAUAUGGCAAUAAUUAUGUUAGUAGGCUUAGAGUGAUUGUAUCAAUAGUCUUGUGAUUUUGUUGUUGUGAUGUUAGACUAAGGAAUAGAGAUAAGUUGUUCAUUAAUCUAUCAUAUUUUUUUUGUU